Molecule: ribosomal RNA, 253 nt
Filed under: uncultured bacterium
Lineage: Bacteria
Description: partial 16S ribosomal RNA
Rfam family: Bacterial small subunit ribosomal RNA
Source: RNAcentral
UACGUAGGGGGCGAGCGUUGCCCGAAUUUACUGGGCGUAAAGCGCACGUAGGCGGCUCCUUAAGUCUGGUGUGAAAUCUCACGGCUCAACCGAGAGGCUGCCCCAGAUACUGCGGGGCUCGAGGACGGGAGAGGAGAUUGGAAUUCCCGGUGUAGCGGUGAAAUGCAUUGAUAUCGGGAGGAACACCAGUGGCGAAGGCGGAUCUCUGGCCCGUUGCUGACGCUGAGGUGCGAAAGCUGGGGGAGUGAAAGGG